UUGGAGGGCACGUCUGGUGCCAGCAGCCGCGGUAAUUCCAGCUCCAAUAGCGUAUAUUAAAGUUGCUGCAGUUAAAAAGCUCGUAGUUGAAUUUCGGGACCAUCAUGUCGGUCGUGCCUCGGUACGUACUGGCAUUGUUGGUUUCUCCCUUCUGACGAACCAUGAUGUCAUUUAUUUGGUGUUGUGGGGAAUCAGGACUGUUACUUUGAAAAAAUUAGAGUGUUUAAAGCAGGCUCACGCUUGAAUACAUUAGCAUGGAAUAAUGAAAUAGGACGUUUGAUUCUAUUUUGUUGGUUUCUAGGAUCGACGUAAUGAUUAAUAGGGAUAGUUGGGGGCAUUAGUAUUCAAUUGUCAGAGGUGAAAUUCUUGGAUUUAUUGAAGACUAACUACUGCGAAAGCAUUUGCCAAGGAUGUUUUCAUUAAUCAAGAACGAAAGUUAGGGGACCGAAGACGAUCAGGUACCGUCGUAGUCUUAACCAUAAACUAUGCCGACUAGGGAUCGGAUGAUGUUAAUUUUUUAAUGACUCAUUCGGCGCCUUACGGGAAACCAAAGUGUUUGGGUUC
RNAcentral lists this ribosomal RNA (564 nucleotides) under uncultured Glomeromycotina. RNAcentral's name for it is "SSU rRNA". It matches the Rfam family "Eukaryotic small subunit ribosomal RNA", at positions 548 to 1114 of the family's 1831-position model. Lineage: Eukaryota; Fungi; Glomeromycota. The record is from RNAcentral.